AGCGAACGCUGGCGGCAGGCCUAACACAUGCAAGUCGAACGAACCUUUCGGGGUUAGUGGCGGACGGGUGAGUAACACGUGGGAACGUGCCUUUAGGUUCGGAAUAACUCAGGGAAACUUGUGCUAAUACCGAAUGUGCCCUUCGGGGGAAAGAUUAAUCGCCUUUAGAGCGGCCCGCGUCUGAUUAGCUAGUUGGUUGAGGUAAUGGCUCACCAAGGCGACGAUCAGUAGCUGGUCUGAGAGGAUGAUCAGCCACAUUGGGACUGAGACACGGCCCAAACUCAUACGGGAGGAAGAAGGGGGGAAUCUGGCGAAAGGGGAGAAAGCCGGACGAAGCAAUGCGGGGGGAAUAAGGAGGGUUUAGGGAUUGAAAAAUUCUUUCACCGGGGAGAAUAAGGAGGGAACCGGAAGAAGAACCCCCGGCAAACUUCGUG
Molecule: ribosomal RNA, 434 nt
Filed under: uncultured bacterium
Lineage: Bacteria
Description: partial 16S ribosomal RNA
Rfam family: Bacterial small subunit ribosomal RNA
Source: RNAcentral